RNAcentral lists this ribosomal RNA (468 nucleotides) under uncultured bacterium. Its description in RNAcentral is "partial 16S ribosomal RNA". It matches the Rfam family "Bacterial small subunit ribosomal RNA", at positions 28 to 507 of the family's 1533-position model. The record is from RNAcentral.
GACGAACGCUGGCGGCGUGCUUAACACAUGCAAGUCGAACGGAAAGGCCCUGCUUUUGUGGGGUGCUCGAGUGGCGAACGGGUGAGUAACACGUGAGUAACCUGCCCUUGUCUUUGGGAUAACUUCAGGAAACUUGGGCUAAUACCGGAUAGGAGCUCCUGCUGCUUGGUGGGGGUUGGAAAUUUUCGGCGGUUGGGGAUGGACUCGCGGCUUAUCAGCUUGUUGGUGGGGUAGUGGCUUACCAAGGGUUUGACGGGUAGCCGGCAUGAGAGGGUGACCGGCCACAUUGGGACUGAGAUACGGCCCAGACUCCUACGGGAGGCAGCAGUGGGGAAUAUUGCACAAUGGGCGGAAGCCUGAUGCAGCAACGCCGCGUGCGGGAUGACGGCCUUCGGGUUGUAAACCGCUUUCGCCUGUGACGAAGCGUGAGUGACGGUAAUGGGUAAAGAAGCACCGGCUAACUACGUG